RNAcentral lists this ribosomal RNA (1509 nucleotides) under Triticum aestivum (bread wheat). RNAcentral describes it as "partial small subunit ribosomal RNA". The record is from RNAcentral. Lineage: Eukaryota; Viridiplantae; Streptophyta; Magnoliopsida; Poales; Poaceae.
AUGAGGAGCCACCUCUCCCACUGCUUCUGGCUCCUCGUCGCGCUGUGCUUCCUCUACCGGCGCGCGGCGGCUGAUCCUCGUCUCCCCGUGCGAGCGGUGAACCUCGGCGGCUGGCUCGUGACGGAGGGCUGGAUCCUGCCGUCCCUCUUCGACGGCAUCCCCAACAAAGACCUCUUGGACGGCACGCAGCUGCAGUUCAAGUCGGUGACGCAGAACGGCUAUGUGGCCGCGGAGAAGGGCGGCGGCGCGGGGCUGGUGGCGAACCGGUCUCAGGCGUCUGGCUGGGAGACCUUCAAGCUAUGGCGGAUCAACGAGACGACGUUCAAUUUGAAGGUGUUCGGGAACCAGUUCGUCGGCGUCCAGAGCGACGGCUCGGUGGUGGCCACGGCGACGUCGCCGGGGAAGUCUGAGACGUUCCGGUUGGUGCGCAACGCCGGCAAGGACAGGAUGCGGAUUAUGGCGCCAAACGGACUCUUCUUGCAGGCAAACAAAGACAGUACAGUGACAGCGGACUACGGGAAGAGCACAAGCUGGGGCGACGACGACCCGUCGGUGUUCGCGGUGACCAGAGUGACGGGGCUACAAGGGGAGUACCAAAUCUGCAACGGAUAUGGGACGGCAAAGGCCACGCCAAUUCUCAAGAACCACUGGAGCACGUAUAUAGUGGAAGAUGACUUCAGGUUCAUAUCUGAAAGCGGGCUGACCGCGGUGAGGAUACCAGUGGGAUGGUGGAUCGCUAGCGACCCCAGUCCUCCAGCACCUUACGUCGAAGGUUCGCUUCAAACCUUGGACAAGGCAUUCAAAUGGGCAGAGGAGUACAAUCUGGGGGUCAUCAUCGACCUACACGCAGCUCCUGGGUCACAAAACCCCUUCGAGCACAGCGCCUCCAAGGAUGGCUCGCAGGACUGGGGCACCAGCGCCGCUAACAUCGCACAAACCGUACAAGUGAUAGAUUUCCUUGCAUCCAGGUACGCUGCGAGCCCGAGCCUCCUCGCAGUGGAGCUGCUGAACGAGCCGCUAGCGCCAGGCGCGUCCCUUGAGAGCCUGAAAACGUACUACCGCGACGGGUACAAUGCCGUCAGGAAGCACUCGUCGGAGGCCUACGUGAUCAUGUCCAAUCGGUUGUCAUCCCCAGACCCGACGGAGCUCCUCGAGUUUGCCGGCGGGUUAUCCAGGACCGUCAUCGACGUGCACUACUAUGUGUUGUUCAAUAGCAUGUUUGAUACUUUCACCGUGCAGCAGAAUAUCGAUUUCAUCAAGACCAACUACUCAAGCGCUCUUAGCACUGUCACGAAGCAGAACAGUCCUCUCACCUUUGUAGGUGAAUGGGUGGCUGAGUGGCAGGUGCCCAAUGCAACGAAGGAAGAGCUCCAAAUGUUAGCAAAUGCACAAAUGGAUGUGUAUGGGAAGGCAACGUUUGGAUGGGCUUAUUGGACUCUCAAGAAUGUAAACAACCACUGGAGUAUGGAGUGGAUGAUCAAGAAUGGGUACAUCUCCUUGAAAAACUAG